This 161-nucleotide ribosomal RNA is filed under the name Saccharomyces pastorianus. The record is from RNAcentral. Lineage: Eukaryota; Fungi; Ascomycota; Saccharomycetes; Saccharomycetales; Saccharomycetaceae.
AAGCCAAGAAACUAGAAAAAAAAAAAAAAAAAAGAAAUAAAGAUUGCAGCACCUGAGUUUCGCGUAUGGUCACCCACUACACUACUCGGUCAGGCUCUUACCAGCUUAACUACAGUUGAUCGGACGGGAAACGGUGCUUUCUGGUAGAUAUGGCCGCAACC